Molecule: long non-coding RNA, 6031 nt
Filed under: Fragaria vesca (wild strawberry)
Lineage: Eukaryota; Viridiplantae; Streptophyta; Magnoliopsida; Rosales; Rosaceae
Description: long non-coding RNA (FVES_LNC001044)
Source: RNAcentral
GAGAAACAAAACCCUAGGGAGACUAACAACCAAACCUAAAAACCCAAGGAUUGAAUUAAAACAGAAUCCGAAAUAACUAGGAAACAUAAAAAUCCCGAAAACUAAUAAAACGCUGAUUUGAGGUCCAAAUAAAACUCGGAUGGCCGAAAAAGCCCAUACGUCGUGGCAAAGCGGCAAGUCUUGUUCGUUGGGCCGUUCCGCUUCCAGAAAGGUAUAAUAAUAGUCAUUCGGACACCGAACGCCAAAUCUACAGCAAACCGGAUUUGGACCUGCAACGAUUGAUCUGUUCCUCGAUUUCUUCUGCCAUCCGUCCUACAUCAGUCUCCUCCACCUCCGAAGAACUCGACCCCGAGUUCUCAAUAGGAUAAAGAGCGUCAUCCGCAUGAUACUCAUAAAUAUCAGCCACAUUAAAGGUAUUUGAAAUGGACAUAGAAUCUGGAAGUGCAACAACAUAAGCAUUGUCAUUGAUCUUCCGUAGUACCUUGAAAGGACCAUACUUCUUGGGUUGCAGCUUAUUGUAGGUACCAACAGGAAACCUUUCCUUCCUCAAAAACACCAUAACGUCAUCACCUUCCUUGAACAACUUAAUCCUGUGAUGUUUAUUAGCUGCAGCCUUAUUCUUUGCAUUAGUGGCCUCCAAUUUAGCUCUAACUAACUCACGAAUUUCCUGCACUUCCUUGGCCAUAUUUUCAGCAGCAACGCUAACACCAUGACCCCUUGGCAGCUUGACUAAAUCCACCACAUGUUUUGGAACAGUAGUAUACACCAAUGAAAAAGGUGAUUUUCCAGUAGCACUAUGCACAACACUAUUGUAAGCAAACUCCACCUGUGGCAAAGCAUUAUCCCAACUCUUCGGUUUGUCUCCACACACACUCCUGACCAUAUUACCCAGGGUUCUAUUGGUAACCUUAGUUUGCCCAUCAGUUUGAGGAUGCGCAGUGCUACUCUUGUUCAAAGUUGUCCCAAACAUCCGCCACAAAGUGACCCAGAAAUGGCUAAGAAAUUUCGAAUCCCUGUCAGAAGUGAUAGAUCGUGGUACCCCAUGCAGACGCACAACCUCCCUGAAAAACAGCUUGGCUAUAUGGGUAGCAUACGAGGUCUUCUUACAAGCAAUGAAGUGCGUCAUCUUAGAAAACCUGUUAACAACCACAAAUACAGAAUCCACUCCCCUCUGUGUACGAGGCAAACCCUGCACAAAAUCCAUUGAAAGAUCCUGCCAAAUGUCUUCAGGAAUAGGUAAAGGGGUAUAAAGACCAGUAUUUUGAGACUGACCUUUAGAAACCUGACAAACAUAACACUUCCGGACAAUUGCCGUGGCAUCUCUCCUCAAAUGGGGCCAAAAGUACCGCUCCUCCAAGCUGGCAAUAGUUUUAUCUCGGCCCAAAUGCCCACUCAAAUCCCCACCAUGCAAGCAUCUCCCUCAAUGAAGAAACUGGAACACAAAGCUGAUUACCCUUGAACAAAUAACCAUCACUAAUGUAAUAGUCCGCAACUGUAUGGUUGCCACUGCAUUUGGCCUAAAUCUCCUUGAAGUCAACAUCCUCUUCAUACAGAUUAUUGAGCACGUCGAAACCCACUAUCUCCUGUGACAACGUCACCAUCAAGGAUGCUCUCCUACUCAAAGCGUCUGCCACCCUGUUCUGGGCACCAGAUUUAUGUUGAAUCACAAAACACAAAAGGGAACUUUUGCAGAUAACUCACCCACCGAGCAUGCAUGUUGCCUACAUUUUUCUGACUGUUAAGGAACUUCAAGGCUUGAUGGUCUGUAUACAAGAAAAAUUCCCUCUGAACAAGGUAACGUUCCCACUGUUUUAACGCCUGGAAGACCGCAUAGAACUCCUGGUCGUAAGUACUCCACUUCUGGUGAGCUUCGCUAAGCUUUUCAUUGAAGAAAGCUACUGGCCUCUUCUCUUUGGACAACACAGCACCAACCCCCACUCCACUAGCAUCGCACUCCACCUCAAAUAUCUAUCAAAGUUAGGCAGUGCCAGGACAGGUGCAGAGCAAAGCUUCUCCUUUAUCAGAGUAAAACUCUGUUCUUACUCCUCUCCCCAGUGAAACUUCCCUUUCUUCAAACAUUCAGUAAUGGUGCUAAAAUAUCGAAUAAAUCUUCUGUAGAACGUAGCCAAACCAUGAAAACUACGUACCACAGAAACUGUCUUUGGGGCUGGCCAGUCUCGUAUUUCAUGAAUCUUCUCCUCAUCCACCUGAAUUCCAUCCUCUCCUACCACAAAUUCCAGAAACAGAAGCUUGUUGGUACAGAAAGUACAUUUUUUCAAGUUAAUGUACAGCUUAUUCUCCUGCAGGACGCUCAAAACCUGUUGCAAAUGCUGCAAGUGAUCUUUUUUCGUUUUGCUAUACACCAGAAUAUCAUCAAAAUAGACCACCACAAAAACACAAAGAAAACGAUGAAGAACCUAUGUCAUAGUUCUCAUGAAGGUGCUAGGUGCAUUAGAUAAUCCGAAAGGCAUCACCAUCCACUCAAAAAGACCAUCCUUGCUCUUGAACGCCAUCUUCCACUCAUCCCCUGGUUUAAUUCGAAUCUGAUGGUAACCACUGCGAAGAUCUAUUUUUGAAAACACCAUAGAACCUGCCAACUCAUUAAGCAUAUCUUCCAAACGAGGAAUAGGAAACCGAUACUUGAUGGUUAUUUUGUUGAUGGCUCUACUGUCCACAGACAUCCGCCAUUGGUUGCCCUUCUUAGGAACAAGAAGGACUGGAACUGCACAAGGGCUCAUGCUCUCACGAAUAAACCCCUUCUUCAGCAAGUCCUCAAUCUGCUCCCUCAAGAUCUCAUUCUCUUUAGGACUCAUACGGUAAUGGGGAAGAUUUGGUAAACUGGCACCUGGAAUAAAAUCAAUCUGGUGUUGGAUGUCUCGCAUGGGUGGUAACUCAUUAGGUAGCUCAUCAGAAAUCAACUCCUCAACUCCCUUAAACAACUGUUGUACCUCUUCAGGGAUCUCUACAGGUUCUUUCUCUGCACUAAACAACCCCUUAAUCACCACAGGACAACACAACUCUGACUCCUUAAAGUCUUCCUCUAUCUCCCGCUCAUUCUUGGACAAGAUUAGAAAGUUCUCCCUCUUCUUUUCUGCAGGUUUGUCAAAGUUCACAACAGGAGCCAUAGCAAUCUUAAACUCACCCCACAUAAACAACAUCACAUUAUCCCGACCCCUGUAAGUAAUAUCAACAUCAUACUGCCAAGGAUGCCCAAACAGAAUAUGACAAGCAUCCAUGUCCAGAACAUCACAAACUACUUCAUCCCUAUAAUGCUUACCAAUCGAAACAGGCACUUUGCAGGUUCUGGUUACACGCACUUGAGGACCCUUCUUCACCCAACCCAAAGAAUAGGGCAUCACAUGGGCCUCUGUUGGUAACUUCAAAUACUCCACCAACUUUUUAGCAACAAAGUUUUCGCAACUCCCAUUAUCCACAAUCAGAUUACACAUAUUGUUGUUGACAGAGCAAUGCGAUCUGAAAAGGUUCCUACGUUGACCGUCCUCCUCCCUGGGAGACAACAGAAUUCUCUGCAAUACAAUGUUCACCUUUUCUGGAGAAUCUUCCACUGCAAAUUCAGCCCCUUCAUAGUCAUCGCCUCCUUCCUCCGUCUCGUCUUCCUCACAGGCCUCGACUAAAGCCUGAACUGUUUUAACCACCUUCGGAGGUGCAGUACACUCGUUGGAUCUAUGACCAGGCUGUAAACACUUAUAACAAGUUCCUGGAAAAGGCCUUGCAUAAGGGUUAAAAGGUUGCUGCACAGGUGCUGCCUAAGUCGCCCUGCUAGUACUGCCAAAACCAGAAACGCCACCCUCUUUGUUAACAGCACUAGAUGCCCUGGUGGUCAUUCCACCCGUAUUCUGCGACACCGUUUUCCCUUUAUCUCCCAUAGAACUCCCGACUUCAAUACUCCUCUGACUAGUGAAUCUUGGGAACUGAAAAGAAACCCUAGGGGACUUCUCCAUCAGCUCCGCCUUUAUCGCUAAACUUGCAGCCUCAGUCACAGACCACAUAGUUUGCAAGCCAAUCUUCUCUUGUAUGGAAGGUCUCAACCCACUGAUGUACCGAGAAACCUUCUGCCCUUCAGAUUCGCCUAAGUUAUUACGUUCAGAAAGACGCACAAACUCAACGGUAUACUCUGUUACAGUCUUCACCCCUUGAACACAAUCUAGGUACAUCAUGUAAAGAAUCUAUUCAUAGUCCUCCGACAGGAAUCGUUCUGUCAUCAAUUGUUUCAUCCUCCGCCAAUUCUUGACGGGUUUUUUCCUCUGCCUUAAUCUCGUCAAUGCCAAUUUAUCCCACCAAACUGCCGCAGUGCUCUUGAGACGAGCUUCCACCAACUUCACUUGCUUAUGUUCCGCGACAUUCAUAUGCUCCAUGAAUCUGUCCACUUCAAUUUGCCAAUCCAGAAAUUCCUCCACGUUCAUCAUCCCAUUAAAGAAAGGGAUAUCAACCUUCAUCCUGAAAUCCUUAUCAUCUUGCCCUAAUUGCUCAAGGUCAACAGCUUCAUCUUCCAAAUCAGACUCAGAGCUGUUAGCAAUUUUGGUUCCUCUUCCUCAUGGAACCCUAGGUUGAGGAAUAGCUCUGCCUUCUCCACGCUUCUUAUUGUUAUUAUCAGUCUUCAAUUCGUUCACCUGAUUUGUCAACGUAGCAAGGGCUGCGGUAAAAGUCGCAGUAACACAUUCUAGGAUACCUUCUAGGUCUGUUCUAGUAAUCGGUUCAUCACCCAUGAUCAAGGAUAAAAGAGACAGGAACGUCUGGCUUCAGAUACCACUUGACGCAGCAGGAGUAUGGAGGGCUAACCAGCGUUAAACCCUAAUAAGUGGAGAGCCUUCAAGCGAAGAACUCUAUAGGACCAAAACCUGGAGCGCGCCAGGGACUAAGAGAAAAUUCUUAAGUUUCUGAAUUAUAAUUGAAAAACUGAAUGUCAGCUACCCAUAAGGGUGCUUAUAUAUGAGAAACAAAACCCUAGGGCGACUAACAACCAAACCUAAAAGCCCAAGGAUUGAAUUAAAAUAGAAUCCGAAAUAACUAGGAAACAUAAAAAUUCUGAAAACUAAUAAAACGCUGAUUUGAGGUCCAAAACAAACUCGGAUGGCCAAAAAAGCCCAUAUGUCGUGGCAAAGCGAUGAGUCUUGAUCAUUGGGCCGUUCCGCUUCCAGAAAGGUAUAAUAAUAGUCAUUCGGACACCGAACGCCAAAUCUACAGUAAACCAGGUUUGGACCUGCAACUAUCGAUCUGUUCCUCGAUUUCUUCUGCCAUCCGUCCUACAUCAGAUUAUCAAAAAUAAAUAAAACAUUUGGAUGACUUAACGAUCACCAAAUUUUCUGAAAAUUUGUAGAAAUAAUCUACUCAUAUAGCCCAACAAACUGAACGGUGGAGAUUUGAUUUUGUGAUCGAAAAGUUCGUCAAAUGAUCUAUCCCUAAAAAUGAACAAAAAAGAGAUUCAUCAAUGGAAGGGCCCUGCAUACACAUAUGUAUAAUAGAAAAAUCAACUUGAGCUUCCCAAUGUUCUUGUCAUAAAAAAUAAAAAGAAAAAAAAUAGAGAUUUUAAUUGCCAGUAUUCAAGAGUCGAAGGCUCUUCCUCCAAAUGCCUAGGCGUCGUUGUCAAAAGUCAAAACACAUGACUCGUCCGACAACCUUGUCUUUGUGACGACAUCGUCGGACGAGCCAGAAUAUAUCAAAUGGUCUGUAACAGUUGGUUGCCCAUUCAAAGUGAAGGUGGAGUCUUGGCUUUGCUGCAUUGUUCGCAUAGAGGUUCAAUUGGUGGUCGGUUAUCCACCAGUUGAGCGAUGGUGUCGUUUUCUCUAAGGGGUACUCUUGUAUUGGGUAUCUCUUUACGUUCGGUUUGGCUUGGUCCUCAGCUCUUGUGUAUUUUGUUGUUAUUCAAUAAAAUUUCAGGGUAGGACGAUGAGUUAGUCUGCAUCCCGCUUACCUAAAAAAACAAAAUUAUAUAAAAUCAUUACCGAAGUAAUGGUAGCUAGACUGUGACCCCUUCACCAAAAAUGUAUUUCUUUCAACCAAUGGGCUUUUG